Molecule: transfer RNA, 77 nt
Filed under: Aggregatibacter segnis
Lineage: Bacteria; Pseudomonadati; Pseudomonadota; Gammaproteobacteria; Pasteurellales; Pasteurellaceae
Also listed under: 2 other names
Description: tRNA-Ile(tat)
Source: RNAcentral
GAGCUUGUUGUCUAAUGGGUAGGACAGCGUUUUAUAAAUAACGCCCUGUGCGAUUUCGAUACUCGCCAAGCUCACCA